AGAAGGUUCACUUAAAAAUAAUCGACGUGCGCACACUUCUCUCUUUAAUUCUUUGAUUUAUCAACAGCCGAUUAUUUUGCUGUCGUUGUGGUUUUUGGCGACAUUUUGUUUUAAUGUGUUUUAAAGACUUCAGAAAACGAUUUAACGUGAUUUUUUGGAUGUUUUUGUGAUCAAACAUCUCUACUUUUAUAUGGAUCUUUUAUUUGAAUCUAGUGUAUAGUGUGAAUGACAGUGUUUUAAUGAAGGAUGAAUCAACUUAAGGCAAAUUAAGAUAUUAAUAUAAUCAUAUUACACCAAGAAGGAUCACACAAACUUAGGAGAUGAAGACCGUCCUUGGAGAUGAUAACGGUUCUUGGGAUGUAAUUGAAAAUCCCAUGAAGACGAGUUAAAUAUAAUGUGCAGUAAUUAAUAGGUAUAUCAUAAUAAUAAAUAAAUUUAUUGUAGUUGCGAAGCUAGUAUUUUGUGAAAGCAGGGAGUUUAGGACUUGCUAUGGUUCAAGGUUUUCAAAUUCGCCAUGUCCCUCUAUGUCUUAAUCUUUUAUGUUGUUUUACACAAUGUUAUAACGCCUAUGCCUGUUAAAAAAACAAGGUUUGUCCUUUUUGUGAUUGCUUAAUUUAGAAACUAAGCGAAAAAACGUAUUCUACAAGUAUCAUACAAGUUAAUCAAUAUUAAAGCCUACUAUUAUUAUAAAUUUAAAUGAUUACAUGGUAGUUUUAAUCAGUUAACUUCCAGUGAUAGUUAUGUAUAUCAGAUAUGUGGGUUUUUAUUUAAAAUAAUUUUAGCACACUUGUAAUUCUCUUGUGUUUGAGUAAUUUACUAAUAACUACGAUGCAAUCGAGAUUACUUUUAAAAAAUUUCAAAACUUAUCAAGAACUUUGACAUCAAACUGUUAAAGUACGUGUUAGGGCCGCUUUUACAAACGUCCGUAAACCUUAUAACCGCGAAUAAAUUUCGAAAAAUAGUUGUUUAAAUUUAGCCUUAAGGGACUUAAAAAUUGGACUAUUGUCAAAGGUUACAAGCAAAAUUUUGAUAUUUUUUUGCUUUUCUGAACAGUCUGUAGACAAGUAAUCAAACCAACAAAACUGAUGUAUUUAUACAGACUGAUCCCGAAAUACUGUGUACUGUUAGCAAUCUGAAUUUAAAUUUUAAAGGAUACCAAUAGUGUACACUUUCAGGUAGCAAUUCAAUAAUUUAAUCUGAUGCCAACAUACUCAGUUUCUCUGGAUCAUUGUGUAUAUUUAGACAAUGUAUUUACAUAUAUUAUUACAUCUGAGUAUGUUUAUGAACAACAAUUCGAGUUAAAUUAAUUUUGCCUAUACAUUCCAGCACGUUAUUAUUUUUUUAAUAAAUUUUUAUUGGAAA
Long non-coding RNA from Tribolium castaneum (red flour beetle), 1362 nucleotides. RefSeq lists it as uncharacterized. Lineage: Eukaryota; Metazoa; Arthropoda; Insecta; Coleoptera; Tenebrionidae. The transcript has 2 exons. The record is from RefSeq and is a predicted model, not a curated record.